Molecule: ribosomal RNA, 484 nt
Filed under: uncultured bacterium
Lineage: Bacteria
Description: partial 16S ribosomal RNA
Rfam family: Bacterial small subunit ribosomal RNA
Source: RNAcentral
AUUGGACGCUGGCGGCAGGCCUAACACAUGCAAGUCGAGCGGAUGAAGGGAGCUUGCUCCUGGAUUCAGCGGCGGACGGGUGAGUAAUGCCUAGGAAUCUGCCUGGUAGUGGGGGAUAACGUCCGGAAACGGGCGCUAAUACCGCAUACGUCCUGAGGGAGAAAGUGGGGGAUCUUCGGACCUCACGCUAUCAGAUGAGCCUAGGUCGGAUUAGCUAGUUGGUGGGGUAGAGGCCUACCAAGGCGACGAUCCGUAACUGGUCUGAGAGGAUGAUCAGUCACACUGGAACUGAGACACGGUCCAGACUCCUACGGGAGGCAGCAGUGGGGAAUAUUGGACAAUGGGCGAAAGCCUGAUCCAGCCAUGCCGCGUGUGUGAAGAAGGUCUUCGGAUUGUAAAGCACUUUAAGUUGGGAGGAAGGGCAGUAAGUUAAUACCUUGCUGUUUUGACGUUACCAACAGAAUAAGCACCGGCUAACUUCGUG